Molecule: ribosomal RNA, 461 nt
Filed under: uncultured beta proteobacterium
Lineage: Bacteria; Pseudomonadati; Pseudomonadota; Betaproteobacteria
Description: bacterial SSU rRNA
Rfam family: Bacterial small subunit ribosomal RNA
Source: RNAcentral
AGGAAAGCAGGGGAUCGCAAGACCUUGCGCUUUUAGAGCGGCCGAUGUCUGAUUAGCUAGUUGGUGAGGUAAAGGCUUACCAAGGCUUCGAUCAGUAGCUGGUCUGAGAGGACGACCAGCCACACUGGGACUGAGACACGGCCCAGACUCCUACGGGAGGCAGCAGUGGGGAAUUUUGGACAAUGGGGGAAACCCUGAUCCAGCCAUGCCGCGUGAGUGAAGAAGGCCUUUGGGUUGUAAAGCUCUUUCAGCCGGAACGAAACGGUCACGGUUAAUACCUGUGAUCACUGACGGUACCGGAAGAAGAAGCACCGGCUAACUACGUGCCAGCAGCCGCGGUAAUACGUAGGGUGCGAGCGUUAAUCGGAAUUACUGGGCGUAAAGCGUGCGCAGGCGGUUUUGUAAGUCAGAUGUGAAAUCCCCGGGCUCAACCUGGGAACUGCGUUUGAAACUACAAAGCU